Molecule: ribosomal RNA, 535 nt
Filed under: Lodderomyces metapsilosis
Lineage: Eukaryota; Fungi; Ascomycota; Pichiomycetes; Serinales; Debaryomycetaceae
Description: eukaryotic LSU rRNA
Rfam family: 5.8S ribosomal RNA (bases 190-343)
Source: RNAcentral
UUCCGUAGGGUGAACCUGCGGAAGGAUCAUUACAGAAAUAGGAGAAGGUUGCUUAACUGCAAUCCUUUUCUUUCUACACAUGUGUUUUUCUUUUUUUUGAAAACUUUGCUUUGGUGGGCCCACGGCCUGCCAGAGAUUAAACUCAACCAAAUUUUUAUUUAAUUGUCAACUUGAUUAACUAAUAGUCAAAACUUUCAACAACGGAUCUCUUGGUUCUCGCAUCGAUGAAGAACGCAGCGAAAUGCGAUAAGUAAUAUGAAUUGCAGAUAUUCGUGAAUCAUCGAAUCUUUGAACGCACAUUGCGCCCUUUGGUAUUCCAAAGGGCAUGCCUGUUUGAGCGUCAUUUCUCCCUCAAACCUUCGGGUUUGGUGUUGAGCGAUACGCUGGGUUUGCUUGAAAGAAAGGCGGAGUAUAAACUAAUGGAUAGGUUUUUUUUUUCCACUCAUUGGUACAAACUCCAAACAUUCUUCCAAAUUCGACCUCAAAUCAGGUAGGACUACCCGCUGAACUUAAGCAUAUCAAUAAGCGGAGGAAG